CCUACGGGGGGCAGCAGUGAGGAAUAUUGGUCAAUGGGCGCGAGCCUGAACCAGCCAAGUAGCGUGAAGGAGGACUGCCCUACGGGUUGUAAACUUCUUUUUUAAAGGAAUAAAGUGAGGCACGUGUGCCUUUUUGUAUGUACUUUAUGAAUAAGAAUCGGCUAACUCCGUGCCCGCAGCCGCGGUAAUACGGAGGAUCCGAGCGUUAUCCGGAUUUAUUGGGUUUAAAGGGGGCGUAGACGGGCUUUUAAGUCAGUGGUGAAAGUGUGAGGCUCAACCAUAGAAUUGCCGUUGAUACUGGGGGGCUUGAGUAUGUUUGAGGCAGGCGGAAUGCGUGGUGUAGCGGUGAAAUGCUUAGAUAUCACGAAGAACCCCGAUUGCGAAGGCAGCUUGCCAAGCCACGACUGACGCUGAUGCACGAAAGUGUGGGGAUCAAACAGGAUUAGAUACCCGAGUAGUC
This 460-nucleotide ribosomal RNA is filed under the name uncultured bacterium. Its description in RNAcentral is "partial 16S ribosomal RNA". It matches the Rfam family "Bacterial small subunit ribosomal RNA", at positions 338 to 795 of the family's 1533-position model. The record is from RNAcentral.